CCCGAACACGGAACAGUUAUGGCACGCAGAUCAGACUAUUUUCCCAUAUAUUCGAACAUGGAACGGUUAUGUAUGAAUACAUACUUAUCACUUCGCCAAUACAUCCGUAUACGAAACAGUUAAGUAUGGUCACAUUGAAGCCUAACAUAAUGCAGGUGCUUUUAGAAAAACUUUUUUCCAUAACAAGUGAUAGACACAUAUCAAAAUUACAUUUUAAAAAUAAAAAGCGAAAUAACACUUAU
This 242-nucleotide long non-coding RNA is filed under the name Carica papaya (papaya). RNAcentral describes it as "long non-coding RNA (CPAP_LNC005085)". Lineage: Eukaryota; Viridiplantae; Streptophyta; Magnoliopsida; Brassicales; Caricaceae. The record is from RNAcentral.